This 253-nucleotide ribosomal RNA is filed under the name uncultured bacterium. Its description in RNAcentral is "partial 16S ribosomal RNA". It matches the Rfam family "Bacterial small subunit ribosomal RNA", at positions 524 to 776 of the family's 1533-position model. The record is from RNAcentral.
UACGUAGGGGGCGAGCGUUGUCCGGAAUUAUUGGGCGUACAGAGCUUGUAGGCGGUCUGUCGCGUCUGCUGUGAAAAUCCGGGGCUCAACCCCGGACUUGCAGUGGGUACGGGCAGACUAGAGUGUGGUAGGGGAGACUGGAAUUCCUGGUGUAGCGGUGAAAUGCGCAGAUAUCAGGAGGAACACCGAUGGCGAAGGCAGGUCUCUGGGCCGUAACUGACGCUGAGGAGCGAAAGCAUGGGGAGCAAACGGG